Molecule: long non-coding RNA, 2715 nt
Organism: Salvelinus sp. IW2-2015
Lineage: Eukaryota; Metazoa; Chordata; Actinopteri; Salmoniformes; Salmonidae
Source: RefSeq, a predicted model, not a curated record
UUAGUUUCUCCUGGAAGUGGGUUUAUUCAUUUCUGUGUCAGACAUAUGAUUUGUUUGUAAUUCAUARAUGUCUUGCUUAUAGAUGUACUGUAUACCAAUAUACUUAAUCUGCCUCACUUUGACAACAUGCUUUUUCAGUAGCAAACAUGGUAGAGGACACUACCAUAGAGUCAUGCUGGUAUUUGCUUUCAUUUCCUCCCUUCUAUGUCCUCACCCAGUCCUGUCCUCCUUCCUAGCGGUGUCCUGUGUGGUGAGUGAGUGGAGUGCGUGGUCUGGCUGUGCUGAGCCCUGCAGGGCCACAGUUCGGAUGAGGAGCAGGCAGGUCCUGCAGGAGCCCCAGCAUGGGGGGGAACCCUGUCCACACGUAGAGGAGCAUGCCGGCUGUGCAGAGUACCGGGACCACCACCGGCAGUGCAGAGUACCGGGACCACCACCGGCAGUGCAGCAAAUCACCGGUACCGGCUCUCAUCACUAACGGUGACUAUAGCAACGCCAGGAAGAAGAGAGACAUCCCUGUUAUCAAUGAUGAUGAUGUCACAGGGUGCAGUUCCAGCUGACCUCCCUGACUCCUGGGUGCCAGCYUAGUGUGGGGCCACACACCCGCUGGAUGCAGUACCUGAAGGAGGGCCACCAGGUGUGUGUGGAGUGCCAGCCUCCUGCCCUCGCUGCCGGGCAGAGACACUGCUCUGGAGACGGUGAGGAGGAGGAGAGUGGCAGGCAGGCAGUCUCUGCAGUGGGGAACACCAGGUGUUGUGGUGUGUGGAGACGUGUUGGGAGACUAGACUCCUGCUCCUGUCCCACUGUCCACAGCUUCCUCUUCAUAUAACCCUGGACAGCUUCCUCUUCAUAUAACCCUGGACAGCUUCCUCUUCAUAUAACCCUGGACAGCUUCCUCUUCAUAUAAUCCUGGACAACCUCCUCUUCAUAUAAUCCUGGACAACCUCCUCUUCAUAUAAUCCUGGACAGCUUCCUUCCUCAUAUAAUCCUGGACAACCUGUACCAGUAUCUCCCAUAACAAUUGGUAUGAAACCUCUGCCAACAUAUAAGUCUUGUUUAUAUGGGUGUUUUGGGUCAUUUUGUUCUCUGGUUGGACAGAAUCCUCCUUCUGAAACAUGCUAUUGUAGAUCUGCUUCUUUCCUAAGAGUAUGUAACUGUCAGUUCAAUUUUUCUUUGUAUCACUGAAAGCCUUCAAUAAUGCCUGGAAUACAUGUCAAUAAUCAAAACCAUUAAUUCAUUAGAUUUUAUUUAACUGUCAGUCAUCUAAGCGGAAUGUAAAGAAAGAUCUUGGGACAUUGAGACACUUUUUACAGGACAGGUAAACCGGAGUUGUGUGUGUGUUUCACAGCCAGUCACGGCUCCAAAGUUACAACAUGCAUUGAUAGAACAACCGAACAUUUAUACAGAAACAACUUACAGCAUAGGAAAGACAACAGGUAGAAACAUUACAAAACAAACAGUAGUCUAGAGACCUACAAACAGUAGCCUAGAGACCUACAAACAGUAGAAGAAGAGGUGUAACGUACACAAUUUCCCUGGAAUUUGUGUAUGUUACAAUGACUGGUGGAUUCAGCAAGGUUGGAAUCAAUUCCAUCUAUUUAAAUUAUUUUCAAAUUUCAAAUUAAAUUAUUUAAUUGAAUUCUAAUUUACCAAAGCAUUUCAAAUGGACCCCAACCCUGAAAUCUAACACAUUUCAAUUGCAUUUGGUUAAUUCCUAAUUGUAAGUUUCUCAUAGCUUAUAAAAAAAUAAGAGAAAUAAAAGAAGUCACUUGAUUGUGCUUUCUCAUUUUAACAUAACAUUUACAAAUCCGUUGACACCAGAAAUUCUCUUGUACAGGAACACAGUAGAAGUUAAAGUUCUUGUACACUACAGCAGUGUUUCCCAACCCUGGUACUCCAGUAUCCCCAACAGUARAUAUUUUAAUUGUAGCCCUGAACAAACACACCUCAUUCAACUCAUUGAGGGCUUGAUGAUUAGUUGACAAGUUGAAUCAGGUGUGCUUGUCCAGGGCUACAAUGAAAAUAUGUACUGUUGGGGAUACUGGAGUACCAGGGUUGGGAAUCARUGUACUACAGGACAUUUGGAUGUUGGGUGACUUGGAGAUGGAAGAGAGGACUGAUGUAGAAAAUAGUUUUUUUUAAACAUACCAGUCAGUGGUCACAGUAUCGUAGUAAAGAAAUUUGACCUUGUCAGAAUAUUUUCCAGAGUCAUUCCUCCUACCAAAACAAAAAUAUAUAAAGSCUAUAAGUAGUUGCUUGACCUGUAUGUGUCUGUAUGUCUGUCCAUGACGUGAUCCAGUCAGUCUGWCCAUCCUAUGACACUCCAUUGGAACUUCUCUUCACAAUGCUACAAUUUAUUUCAUGUCUAUUCAUGAGGAUUUGAUUGUCAUCAUUCUUUAAAGAGAUAGUUUCCAUGACAAAGCGGUCCCUGACUCCCACAAUAUAUUCUUACAGUGAAAGCAUAAAUUGAUGUAUGGUAAUGUGAAACAUAGGGUACAGGAACACAUAUCUCAGUGUUAGACAAUGCUCAAUACCAGAACCGAGCACGAGAAGCCAGCGCUCUACAGAUGACAGCUAAUUCGACCACCGGGGCAGUCAAAGGAAGGAUUUGAAGGAGGAUUUGAAAUGCAUUGUGAACACAAUGAAAAUAAACCUGUAACAUUGUACUGUAUGUCCACCCUACAGCUAAAAUCAUUCAUGUGAACAUUGUCAAACAAA